AUCGCUUCUCGGCCUUUUGGCUAAGAUCAAGUGUAGUAUCUGUUCUUAUCAGUUUAAUAUCUGGUACGUCCCCUAUCCGAGGGCCAUAUAUUAAAUGGAUUUUGGUAUUGCAGUACCUCCGGGACCGGUGCAAAAAAAUAAAUAAAAUAAAGGAAUACUAUUCUAAAAAUAUAUUAUAACAU
This 182-nucleotide small nuclear RNA is filed under the name Leptobrachium leishanense (Leishan spiny toad). Its description in RNAcentral is "U2 spliceosomal RNA (ENSLLEG00000019986.1)". It matches the Rfam family "U2 spliceosomal RNA". From Rfam's summary of the family: U2 is a small nuclear RNA (snRNA) component of the spliceosome (involved in pre-mRNA splicing). Complementary binding between U2 snRNA (in an area lying towards the 5' end but 3' to hairpin I) and the branchpoint sequence (BPS) of the intron results the bulging out of an unpaired adenosine, on the BPS, which initiates a nucleophilic attack at the intronic 5' splice site, thus starting the first of two transesterification reactions that mediate splicing. Lineage: Eukaryota; Metazoa; Chordata; Amphibia; Anura; Megophryidae. The record is from Rfam by way of RNAcentral.